This 460-nucleotide ribosomal RNA is filed under the name uncultured bacterium. RNAcentral's name for it is "partial 16S ribosomal RNA". It matches the Rfam family "Bacterial small subunit ribosomal RNA", at positions 338 to 795 of the family's 1533-position model. The record is from RNAcentral.
CCUACGGGAGGCUGCAGUGAGGAAUAUUGGUCAAUGGACGAGAGUCUGAACCAGCCAAGUAGCGUGAAGGAUGACUGCCCUAUGGGUUGUAAACUUCUUUUAUAUGGGAAUAAAAUGUUCCACGUGUGGGAUUUUGUAUGUACCAUAUGAAUAAGGAUCGGCUAACUCCGUGCCAGCAGCCGCGGUAAUACGGAGGAUCCGAGCGUUAUCCGGAUUUAUUGGGUUUAAAGGGAGCGUAGGUGGAUUGUUAAGUCAGUUGUGAAAGUUUGCGGCUCAACCGUAAAAGUGCAGUUGAAACUGGCAGUCUUGAGUACAGUAGAGUUGGGCGGAAUUCGUGGUGUAGCGGUGAAAUGCUUAGAUAUCACGAAGAACUCCGAUUGCGAAGGCAGUUCACUGGACUGCAACUGACACUGAGGCUCGAAAGUGUGGGUAUCAAACAGGAUUAGAUACCCUGGUAGUC